CUACCCCGGGAAGCUGCACUUUGAAAGGGAAGAGUUGCAAUCCUGCUGGGCUUGGCACAAGGCGGUAGCGGGGAACAGGAAGGAGCUGAGCUUACCAGCCCAUGUGGGAUGGAGGGGCCCACCCCAGUCCCCAGACUCUCUAGGCGAAAGGCCUCAGUUUCAUUUUCUGCGAAAAGGAGGACUCUGCUUCCUUCACAGGCAUGGAUUGCGGCUAGCUGGACACUGGGCCCUCCGCUGGCACUGUGGUCACUGCUGGCCCCAGUGCCACCAAUGCCACAGGACACUGGAUGCCAUAGCCACCAACUCCACCAGAAGGAGUUCCGAUUAUGUUGUUCAGUCUGGAUUUAGAAGUCUCAGGAUACAAACCAGGACCAACCAGGACCAAUCAGGACCAAUCAGGAAAAGUCUGGAAGGGUCCCAAACUUGGAACUUCUGUGUCCUCUCCACAUGGAACCCAGGGCGCACUCGACCCUCUCAGCGCAUCAAUGUGUUCACCUGCCAGGAAGUUCACCCAAGCCUCAGUGUCCAGAGUUUUUCUUGGGGUUUCAUUACAUAAGCAUGGUUAACUGAAUCCCUGGCCAUGUGAUUGAACUCAGUCUUUCUCAGUUGAACCCACCCCUCUGGACUGAUAUCACGUGGCUCAAAGCCCCAACUCUCUAAGCACAUGGUUGAUCUUUCUGACAUUGCCAGCCCCCAUCCUGAAUCUAUCUAGGACCCACCAGGAGUCACCUCAGUAGCAUAAACUCAAGUGUGUUCCCGGGGGCCCACUGUGAAUAACAAAUCCCAAGAGUUUAGAAGCUUCAUCCCAGGAAUCCAGGACAAAGACCAGAUAAAUCAUUAUACAACAAUAUCCCAUAGCAUGGCUGUCACAAGGCUGAAACAUUUAAGCUGGAUCUGACUAAAGGCUAACACUGUGAUGGCUAGAGUUUCCCUUGGAUCCCAACCUGCUGUGAUCUUAGUGACAGCCUAGUGUGCUGUGUGGAGGAUUCUGAAGCCACUUCCAGGAUUAAUUGGAAGGAGGGACAUGAUCAACUAGUCAUGACAGCCCUGGAAUAGAAGGGCAUUGGAAGGGGAGAGUGAGAGUGUGCAUGUGGGGUACUUGCUAACGCUGGGCUAAGGAUUAAAAAAAAAAAGGAAAAACCAUUUGCUGUUUGCUAAUGAAGACUUGCUCUUUAGAACAUGUAAGACCCAUCCCACUUCAGCUCCUGUCCUAAUGCCAUGUAGUGGGUGCCAUGUUUAACCCUUACCACACAAGAGGUCAUGUCUUUUUAUUUCUUCUCCUCAAAAUCUAGACUCAUGAAAGGGAGACUCAGAGAGAGAUGAGCGUGCCUUGGCUGCCCCCUGAAUUCU
RNAcentral lists this long non-coding RNA (1350 nucleotides) under Equus asinus (donkey). Its description in RNAcentral is "lncRNA (ENSEASG00005026443.1)". Lineage: Eukaryota; Metazoa; Chordata; Mammalia; Perissodactyla; Equidae. The record is from RNAcentral.